Acanthosepion pharaonis is the source of this 113-nucleotide non-coding RNA. NCBI's taxonomy places the organism in Eukaryota, Metazoa, Mollusca, Cephalopoda, Sepiida, Sepiidae. The record is from the annotation of a GenBank genome assembly.
UUACGGCCAUAUCACGUUGAAACACUGAUACUCGUACGAUCACCGAAGUUAAGCAACGUCGAGCCUGGUCAGUAUCUAGAUUGGUGACGCUUGGAAAUAUCAGGUGCUGUAAG